AACCCGUAGGUCUGGACUUGUG
This 22-nucleotide microRNA is filed under the name Nautilus pompilius. Its description in RNAcentral is "Npo-Mir-10-P2_5p (mature (guide))". Lineage: Eukaryota; Metazoa; Mollusca; Cephalopoda; Nautilida; Nautilidae. The record is from RNAcentral.